CCAUUCUGUAGCAAUACAGAGGAAGACCUAGUGGCGAACGGGUGAGGAACACGUGAGGAACCUGCCCCGAACUUUGGGAUAACAGUUGGAAACGACUGCUAAUACCGAAUGCCGUUACGAAGUGGCAUCACUUUGUAACGAAAGAAUUUCGGUUCGGGAGGGCCUCGCGGCCUAUCAGCUAGUUGGUGGGGUAACGGCCUACCAAGGCAUCGACGGGUAGCUGGUCUGAGAGGAUGAUCAGCCACACUGGGACUGAGACACGGCCCAGACUCCUACGGGAGGCAGCAGUGGGGAAUCUUGUGCAAUGGGCGAAAGCCUGACACAGCCACGCCGCGUGCGGGAAGAAGGCCUUCGGGUUGUAAACCGCUUUCAGCAGGAACGAAAAUGACGGUACCUGCAGAAGAAGAUGCGGCCAACUACGUGCCAGCAGCCGCGGUGAUACGUAGGCAUCAAGCGUUGUCCGGAUUUAUUGGGCGUAAAGAGCUCGUAGGCGGUUCAGCAAGUCGGGUGUGAAAACUCUGGGCUUAACCCAGAGCCUGCACUCGAAACUGCUGUGACUAGAGUUCGGUAGGGGAGCAGGGAAUUCCUAGUGUAGCGGUGAAAUGCGCAGAUAUUAGGAGGAACACCAAUGGCGAAGGCACUGCUCUGGGCCGAUACUGACGCUGAGGAGCGAGAGCGUGGGUAGCAAACAGGAUUAGAUACCCUGGUAGUCCACGCCGUAAACGAUGGGCACUAGGUGUGGGUCUCUAACCAACGAGAUCU
Molecule: ribosomal RNA, 762 nt
Filed under: uncultured Actinomycetes bacterium
Lineage: Bacteria; Bacillati; Actinomycetota; Actinomycetes
Description: bacterial SSU rRNA
Rfam family: Bacterial small subunit ribosomal RNA
Source: RNAcentral